Molecule: long non-coding RNA, 736 nt
Filed under: Ananas comosus (pineapple)
Lineage: Eukaryota; Viridiplantae; Streptophyta; Magnoliopsida; Poales; Bromeliaceae
Description: long non-coding RNA (ACOM_LNC032038)
Source: RNAcentral
UGGAUUUGAGGUAUCUUUAACUUUUAAUUCUUUAUUUAUUUUUUAUAAGGGUUAAUUGUAUGUAGCUAUUUGUAAACAUAGCGAAUUACUAAUAUAUCCAUAUACAGUUCAACUUUUUUAUAUUAUUCCUGUAAAAGUUCUAAUAUUUUCAAAUAUGCCUAUACUGAAUCCGUUAAAAAAAUUUAGUUAACUAUAGAUAAAAAACUUACUCUUGGAUAGUCAAUUGGGUAAAUUGACAUUUUUACCAUUCUUAUAUUAUAUCUUGUUCUCUUAAUAAAAACUCUAGUACUGGAAACUCUUUUUCUUGUUCUUCCUUUUAUUCUUUCUCUUUCUCCUUCAUGCUAAUUUCGAACACGUAACUAAAAUUUCUGUCCCUAUUCAUCCACGACACUUGUUACUUCGCCCAUGUCGAACGCGUGUUGCUUUCCCAUUCAAUUUCUUCUAUAAUUUUUUUUUAUUUUGCUAAAAAAAAGGCUUAAGAGAAAAAUAGUGAGAGAAGAUGUUGCAAUAAUGGUGAAUUGGGCUGAGUUUUAAAAAGCAAGAAGAUGAGGAAGAAGAUUGUCACGCCCCGGAUUACACGUUCCCCGGGCACGCCGACAAAUCCGCCGUAUACAAAGAAAUUUUCCCUGUAUACGAAGCGACAGCUGUACCUGUAAAUCAAACACUACUACGAACAGUAGUAGAGAGCUGCUAGAGAAACAGAAGCUAAACAAACAGAGUUUCAUAUACAUAGUCC